UACGAAGGGUGCAAGCGUUGUUCGGAAUUACUGGGCGUAAAGCGCGCGUAGGCGGCUUGCUAAGUCAGACGUGAAAGCCCUGGGCUCAACCCGGGAAUUGCGUUUGAUACUGGCGAGCUUGAGAUUCAGAGAGGUGAGUGGAAUUCCUAGUGUAGAGGUGAAAUUCGUAGAUAUUAGGAAGAACACCAGUGGCGAAGGCGGCUCACUGGCUGAACACUGACGCUAAAGCGCGAAAGCGUGGGGAGCAAACAGG
RNAcentral lists this ribosomal RNA (253 nucleotides) under uncultured bacterium. RNAcentral's name for it is "partial 16S ribosomal RNA". It matches the Rfam family "Bacterial small subunit ribosomal RNA", at positions 524 to 776 of the family's 1533-position model. The record is from RNAcentral.